Molecule: ribosomal RNA, 468 nt
Filed under: uncultured bacterium
Lineage: Bacteria
Description: partial 16S ribosomal RNA
Rfam family: Bacterial small subunit ribosomal RNA
Source: RNAcentral
GACGAACGCUGGCGGCGUGCUUAACACAUGCAAGUCGAACGGAAAGGCCCUGCUUUUGUGGGGUGCUCGAGUGGCGAACGGGUGAGUAACACGUGAGUAACCUGCCCUUAACUUUGGGAUAACUUCAGGAAACUGGGGCUAAUACCGGAUAGGAGCUCCUGCCGCAUGGUGGGGGUUGGAAAGUUUCGGCGGUUGGGGAUGGACUCGCGGCUUAUCAGCUUGUUGGCGGGGUAGUGGCUUACCAAGGCUUUGACGGGUAGCCGGCCUGAGAGGGUGACCGGCCACGUUGGGAGUUAGAUACGGCCAAGACUCGUACGGGAGGCAGCAGUGGGGAGUAUUGCACAAUGGGCGGAAGCCUGAUGCAGCAACGCCGCGUGCGGGAUGACGGCCUUCGGGUUGUAGACCGCUUUCGCCUGUGACGAAGCGUGAGUGACGGUAAUGGGUAAAGAAGCACCGGCUAACUACGUG